RNAcentral lists this long non-coding RNA (25640 nucleotides) under Marmota monax (woodchuck). The stretch from base 6303 to 6375 matches the Rfam family "tRNA". Lineage: Eukaryota; Metazoa; Chordata; Mammalia; Rodentia; Sciuridae. The record is from RNAcentral.
GGCACUGCUGAGAAGCACCUGAGGUUCCUUCAGACAGCUGGCGGGCCUUACACUCUUGGCCCCGUAGGCCAGGACAGACAGACAGGUGGGCCCAGAAAGGACCUGGAGCCAUUGACUCAAGUCCGAGUGGCUGCAAGCCGCUGCUGGACAGAACCAGAGAGAAUGGGAAACAUGCCACCAACUUUUAUAGUUACAUGUCAGGUGCAGGGACACGUCCUGAGCAAUGUCCUGUUAGGUGAUUUUGUCACUGUACCAACCUAGAGUGUGCUUACACAAGCCUACGACAGCCACAGGUCACUGGGCAGUAUUACCUUGUGGGUCCACUGUUGUGUUACGUGGUCCAUCAUCGGCCCAAACGUCCUUGUGGCGUGGGACAGCGUUUACACGGCUGCUUUCCAGACUGAGGUGCCCCCUUUGGCCCUUGGUCCUCCUCUGACCGUCUUAAUGGCCCCAAGUUGGCGUUACAGGGGAGCUCUUAGGAAGAGGGGUAUGUCUGUCCAGAAGCUGGCAGGGCCAUGACGGUUUUGUCUCUGUUUGCGACAGAGGCUGAGUGGCUGUCAUCCUUUUCCCACCAGCCCCCUUCGCCAGAGUUGGGGGACAGCCAGGAGUUUUGUGGUUAAAUAAUUUUUUGACCUUCAGCUAUAGGACAUCGGUGCCGUGUUAAGUACUUCAGAAGACCUGGGAGAUAAGAAAUCUGACCUCCUUUUCUAGAUGAAACCCAGACUGAGCGAAGAGCUAAGGAAAAUAUAGAAGCUUGACUACAAGAGGCCUAGGCUGGGUCUAGCAGCCCGUAACAAAUGCUUUUGGUUUUCUUUAUAACAAGGGAAAUUCCUUCACCUCAGGCUCGGAGGAAGUUGAGAGGUCUAGCAUGACUUAACACACGUUUUAAGAGUGAAUUAUCUUUGGGGGUAACUUAGGGACAAACAUCCCUGGAGGCUGCCCCGUCCUCCUCUGCCCCCUUCCCCAGCCUGCCCCUCGUCCUCCCACAUCCUCCCCUUCUCCCUCCACCCAGUGGGGGCCCCGAUGAGCGGCAGUGUGUGGAGAGCAGGAGACUGAUACGGACACACCUCUGCUCUCUUUCUUCUUUCUUUCCUUUUGCAGUGCUGGGGAUCGAGCCCAGGCUCUAAUGCCAUUGAGCCACACCCCCCAGGCCUUCUCUAUUUUUUAGGACCUUCCUGAGGAGGCCAGUCCACCUCGUUUGCUUUAGGAUGAAGGCUUUUGGGUUGCUGUCGAGACUAUAAUGGUGAUUUUAGCCCGUGGCUUAUUGCACACAACUUAUUAUAUUUAAGGCAUGGGGGGGUCUCCUGUGAGCAAGGUUCCUAUCACCCACUGUGGUGGCUGUGCAUGCUUCACUGACCUAUGGGGACAGAGUCACUGGCUGCUCUGUUCCCUAGAAGAACGGACAAGCUGCCAGGUGCACACCUAUAAUCCCAGUGGUUUGGGAAGCCGAGGCAGGCGGAUUGAGAGUUCAAAGCCAGCCUCGGCAACUUAGUGAGGCCCUGACCAACUCAGCAAGACCUGUCUCUAAAUAAAAUGCAGAAAAGGGCUGAGGGUGUGGCUCAGUGGUUGAGUGUCCCCGAUUCAGUCCCUGGUACCAAAAAAAAAGAAGGGACAGGCCAAGCCUCCAAACGGACAGAAAUUCCUGGCCUACCCUCCAAGUCCGCUCCGUGGGGUGGGACACGCGGGAGGGAGGUGUCUUUGGGAAGAGCAGAGAGGUGGCCCGGCUUGGCUUCUCAUGUCUGACUGCCUUCCGCCAAGGUUUAAGUUCCAGGUUGUCAUCAGUGGCCGCGAGUUCCCCCCGGCGGAAGCUGGCAGCAAGAAGGUGGCCAAGCAGGAUGCAGCUCUGAAAGCCAUGACGAUCCUACUGCGGGAGGCCAAAGCCAAGGACAGUGGGAAGCCAGAGGACUUGUCCUGCUGUUCCCCAGAAAAAGAGCCAGAGGAGGUAGGGACCUGCCCAAGGUGGGUCUCGUCUCUCAGGUCUCAAGGGGUAGCAUCUUAACUGGCCCCUGGAAGCGAUCCUGGUCUAAAAGCCCUGGUCUCUAGUCCCAAGACAGCUUCCCGCCUCCUCUGCCCACCUCCAACCCGCUUUCCUCUCCUUCCCAGCCCCCCUCCUGCCCCCUUGAGCCUAGCUGGAGGUGCAGAACGUCAAGCCUGGAAGAGGCUGAAGCAGUACGGUGCUCCGUCUCCACUUUGGGCAGAUAGCUUACUCUCUCCUGCCAUGCCCGGGAAGGCCACCCUUAACACUGACGGAUCCGAGAGUCCCCGUCCGUCCCUUCUGCGGAGGCGGAGCAGCCGGCCUGGUCUCAGUUCCUCGUGCUUUAUUCUGUCUUCUCGUCUCACUUUCUCCAGACAGCGGAGCCCCAGCCCACCGCCACCUCAACGUCGUCCCUGUUUUCUGGGAAGAGCCCCGUCACUACCUUGCUGGAGUGUAUGCACAAACUGGGCAACUCCUGUGAAUUCCGGCUCCUGUCCAAAGAAGGCCCUGCCCAUGACCCCAAGUACGUCCGGGGAGGGACGGUGUCUCCAAGAGGCUUUCUCAGAGACAGGCUCGUCUUCCUCUUCAGAGACGGCAGCUUAUUGUCUCUGAGCAGUUUCUUCUGCUGCAUGUGGAAGGGCCUUCAGGACCUGGUUGCUGCUUGGAAAGCAGAGAAGCUGGAAUCGGGAGUCCAGAGGGACCAAGGGCAAGGAGGGGUUGGUAGCGUGGGGGUCACUGUUGGUGGGACAGAAAGGUCCAGGGCCUUGGUGGGCCUGAGCAGCUCUCUGAGGGUCUGUGGACUCACAUAUCCGAGAGAAGGGCUCUGGAGGAGGGGAAAGUUUUGCAUGUUGAAAGUGGGGAGCCAGGCUGAGAGACCCGGGCAGCAGGUGGGCGAGGGGCAGCGGCUAUGCAAGGCAGAAGUGACUAUAGAAGGUGAUGUGCACAAGAAGUCGCAUGUAGUAGAGAACGUUAGCAAGUUGGGCCGGUCUCUGCAAUCACAACCUUCCUCCCUCUGGUCAGGUUCCAGUACUGUGUGGCGGUGGGAGCCCAAACCUUCCCUACCGUGAGUGCUCCCAGCAAGAAAGUGGCAAAGCAGAUGGCCGCAGAGGAGGCCAUGAAGGCCCUGCACGAGGAGGCCACCAACUCGGUUGAUGACCAGGUGGGCGUUUCUCCUGCUGAAACACCGUGGGGCGAUCUAGCAACGGAGCAGGUCAGGGUGGCCCACGUUUCUUUGAAUGUUCAUGGCUCCUUUUUGUUUGGCUGAUUCUCCUUUAGUCUGGAGGUGCCAACUCAGAAUCACUUGACAACCUGGACUCUGGGAUGCCCAACAGGAUCAGGAGGAUCGGUGAGCUCGUCAGAUACCUGAACACCAACCCCGUGGGCGGCUUGUUAGAGUACGCCCGCUCCCAUGGCUUUGCUGCUGAGUUCAAGUUGGUGGACCAGUCUGGACCCCCUCAUGAGCCCAAGUGAGUGUUCCAGACCCAGCUCCUGCUGGGUGUCAUCAGGUAGGGGUGGUGUGUCGUCCAGGGAAAGAAAGGAUGUGCGCCGCUGUGAAGGACAGGGAAGGCAGGUGAUGAAACAAGCCAACCCUCUCUCCACAGCCUCUUGGAUGAAGUUAGUCUUCCAUCUUGAGGAUACAGUGAGCAUUUUAUAUAUAUAUAUAUAUUUACUUUUAAAUAUAUAUUAAAUAUAUAUUAUAUAAAUAUAUAUUAAAUAUAUAUUAAAUAUAUAUUAUAUUUUAAAUAUAUAUAUAUAUAUAUUUACUUUUUUUAUUUCUGAAAGAAAAAAAAAAAAAUAUAUAUAUAUAUAUAUAUAUAAAAUCAUUCAAACUGACCAAAUAAGUCUAUAGCGAAAAGUCUUAUUUCUAUCCCAGACUUCUCUCCUAAGAUCCUCAUACUAUCAACUUGAAUUUCCUUCUGGAAAUUUCUAUGCAUAACUAGCACAGUUUCCUUUCUUUUUUUCUUUUUUUUUAAACAAGAAUAAGCAUAGAGCAUGCUUUCUGUUCAACACCUUGUGCCAGUGUGUCUCAGAUAGUGUCUCAGGUAAAUACAGAUCAGAAUAUACAGCUCUACCAAGGUCUCUUGCACAGCUGAAUGAUAUUUCAUUGACUAAAUACUUGCAAUUUUAAAAUUACUUAUUAAAUAAGAGAUAUGACAGACCUUUUCUAAAAUAGAUACUGAUGCACCACCACCUAGUUUAAGAAAAUAAAAUGUUGCUAGUACUUGGGAACACGCCACCCCAACUUGGCAUAAUUUGUUUAACCCACUUCCAGUGACAUUUAGGUUGCUUUGGUCACACUAUUAGAAACACUCCAGUUGAAUUUCCUCAUACUGUAUGCUUUUGCUUUCAUUAGCAAAACUGUCAGUAGUAAUUUUUUUUAAUAUUUAUUUUUUAGUUAUAGGUGGACACAAUAUCUUUAUUUUAUUUUUAUGUGGGGCUGAGGAUUGAACCCGGUGCCUCAUGCAUGGUAGGCGAGCGCUCUACCUCUGAGCCACAACCCCAGCCCCUAUCAGUAGUAAAUUUUUAGGAGUGAAAUUUUGGGGCCAUAAGCAAUAUGUUUUUUUAAGGUUUAAAAAUUUUUGUAUAGGUAAUAGACUACUCAAAAAUUUUUUUAAAAUUCAGAAAAAUAUAAGAAGUUCAUUCUCAGUCUCCCUUGGGCCUAGCUGUCAUCUCCUAUCCACAACCCCCAUCAACAUUUAAUGAUUUUGCAUUAUAAUAUGUCUCUCUUGAGUGUGUUUGUGUAAAUACAGGCAAGUGCAUCUCCCCUGUUGGUUUCAUAUAAGCAUUGAUCUAUAACUUGAUCUUAUACAACAAUAUAAUAGCAUUCUAUAACCCUGUAUUCUUUGAAUAAUGCUGCAAAGUGUAUUGUUAGAGUGCACGUGAUUUAGUUAACCAGCUCCUCUUGGAGAACACUUGGGUUGUUUCCAGAAUUCUGCUGUUAUGAACAAUAGUAUAGCCUGUUUAUGAGCAUUCGAAAUUUUAAUAUGUAAAUUUAUGUAAACGAGUGAUUUUCCUCCAAUGAGAUCACACCAUCUUAUGCUUUUACCAACAAUAUGUAAGAAUGGCUCUUCCCCAGCUCCACCCAGGCUAAUAUGAUAUAAUCAAAAUUGUUAUCUUUGGGGGGCUGGGGAUGUGGCUCAGGGGCAGAGCACUUGCCUAGCACCUGUGAGGCACUGAGUUCGAUCCUCAGCACCACACAAAAAUAAACAAAUAAACUAAGGCAUGCUGUCUAUCUACAACUAUAAAAAACAUUUUUUAAAAAUCUCAUCUUUGCCAUUCUAAAAUGGAAAAAAAAACAGUAUUUUGCUGUAUUGCAAAGAUUAAUCUGUUAGGAUAUUUAUUAUUACUAUUUACCAUAUUAAUGGAUCACAGGAGAGAAACCACAUAAUUAUCUCCAGAGAUUCUGAAAAGGCAUGUAUAAAACUCAGCAUCCAUUCAGAUUAACAAAACAAGCUGUCAGUAAAAUUAAAAUGAUUGAAUACCUCCUUACCAUGAUAAAAAAUACAUUUGAAGUCAAAAGCCAGCAGCUUAUUUAACGAUGAACCUAGAACUGUUCCCAUUGAAGUCAGGAGGGAGACAUAGUUGUCAGUGUCAUCAUUAUGAGGCAUUAUUCUGGAAUUCUAGCCAAUGCCAGUCAAGAGAAAGAAAUAGUGUACAUGCCAGGCGUGUGGUGCACACCUGUAAUCCCAGGGACUCAGGAGGCUGCACUGGGAUCCUCCUGUCUCAGUCUCCUGAGUCUCGGGAUACAGACGUGUGCCACCAUACCCAUGAUUGAUAGAACUCUUAAGCACGUACUGUUCAUGUACUCAGUACAACUUUAAGGCCAGCCUCAGCAACUUAACAAGUCCUAAGCAACUUAGUGAGACCCUAUCUCAAAAUAGCAAAAACUAAAAGAGCUGCAGAUAUAGCUGGUGGUAAAGCACCCCUGGGUUCAAUUCCAAGUACCAAAAACAAAGAAGAAAGAAAACCAAAUAUACAAAGAAGAAAGAGGUAGUUAGUUAAUCAUUAUUUGCAGAUGACUUGAUUGUAUACCUGGAAUAUUUACCUGAAAACCAAGGAAAUGCAUAGGCAGAGAAUUGAGAAAAGUCGGAAAUCGCAGUGAAAUGCGUAAGAAUCCAGAGCUUGCCUGUGGGCUGGGCUGUGGCUCAGUGGAGGAGCGCUCGCCUAGCACUGGGUUCCAUCCUCAGCACCACAUGAAAAAUAAAUAUAUAAACAAAUAAAAUGAUUUUUAAAAAGAGCUUAUCUGUAUGCAGGAAUAAGCAAUUGGGAAAUGCAGUGGAAGAAAUUACCCUAUUACAACAGCAACUAAAAAGAUGAACUACCAGGCUGGGGUAUAGCUCAGUUGGUAGAGUGCUUGCCUUGCACGCACAAGGCCCUGGGUUCAAUCCCCAGCACCACAGGAAAAAAAAAAAAAAAGAUAAACUACCUAGGCACAGUCCUAAUAGGAACUAUGUAGGAACAAUGUUAAGUAAAACGGUAAUCAAAGAUAUGAAGGAAGACUUGAUUAAAUGGGAGGAAGAAUCUGUUAUUAGACAGUAAAGGUUUUUGUGUUUUGGUUUUUUGUGGUCUGGGGAUCAACUGAGAACCUCACAUGUGCUAGGUAUAUAUUCUACCACUGAGCUACACCCCAGGCCAAGUAUUUUAAAGAUAGCAGCUGUCCCCAGAUUAAUCUUCACACUUAAUAUGGUCCCAAUAAAAAUAUCAACAGAAUUUAUUUUGGAAGUAGAAAACUUGAUUCUGAAUUUCAUAUGAAAAACAAAUACAUAAAAAUAGCUAGGAAAUUCAGAGAAAAAAGGACUGAUCCUACCAGAUUUUUUUUUUUAAGAAUUUAACCUUUAUUUUAUUUAUUUGUUUGUUUAUUUAUUUAUUUAUUUAAUAUUUAUUUUUUUAGUUUUUGGCAGACACAACAUCUUUGUUUGUAUGUGGUGCUGAGGAUCGAACCUGGGCUGCACGCAUGCCAGGCGAGCGCACUACCGCUUGAGCCACAUCCCCAGCCCCUACCAGAUUUUUUUACCUGCUGCCAAGGGUUGAACCCAGUGCCUCACCCGCAACAGGCAAGCGCUCUACAACCCCAGCCCCUACCAGAUUUUAAAACAGUGAUGUGAUGUACAUAGCUAGAAAGGUGCUUCCGGGGAUCAGACGGGAGCACCCAAAAGGUCGAAAACCAUAUGAAUGGUAUUUUUGUAUGUUGUAAACAUAAGGCUCCAAAUGAGUGGGGAAAUGGUGGUAGUGGGGCUGCCAGCUCUCCAUCCUGAAAACAAAACCAGAGCUGUUUGUCUGCCCCCUUCCCGACUCCCAGACCCCUACAGAUCCAAGGUUUAAAUGUAAAAUAAAUGAAAUCUGAUCACUAGAUAAAAGGAGGGAUAUUUCUAGAAUCUUCAAGCAGCAAAGCCUUUCCAAUCAAAGACACAAAACGUAAAGUCAUCAGGUAAAAAGCCCAGAAAUGUUAAUAGUAAGAAAAAAAUGGUGCGUAGUCAAAAGACCACCUGAGAAAAACACCACAGUGCCCAGCAGCCCGAGGCUAAUUUCUUUGAUACGUGAAGGGUUCUACAGAAAUCCCAAUGGAAAACCUUAGGAGAAAACUAAAGUAUUGGGCUGGGGAUGUGGCUCAAGCGGUAGCGCGCUCACCUGGCAUGCGUGCGGCCCGGGUUCGAUUCUCAGCACCACAUACAAACAAAGAUGUUGUGUCCGCCAAAUACUAAAAAAUAAAUGUUGAAAUUCUCUCUCUCUCUACCUCUCUCUCACUCUCUCUUUAUAAAAAAAAAAAAAAAAAAAAAAAACUAAAGUAUGUGAGCUGUACAUUCAUAGAAAAGGAAAUACAGUGAAUUGCCAGGUGGUGGCACACCUGUAGCCUGUAAUCCCAGCAGCUCAGGAGGCUGAGGCAGGAGGAUCACAGGUUCAAAGCCAGCCUCAGCAACUUAGUGAGGCCUUAACCAACUCAGUGAGACCCUGUCUCAAAAUAAAAAUGGCCGGGAAUACAUCUCGGUGGUAAAGUGCCCCGGGUUCAGUCCCUGGUACCAAAAGAAAAAGGAAAAGAAGUACAAUGAAUUGUCAGUAAACAGAAAGGUACACGACCUCAUUUUGUAAAUUAAAUUGACGCUUUGACAGCAUACCUACAAAACAGCGGUGCAGUUAGCCUGUGCAUUACAGCUGAGUGUGAGAACAGUGCCUCCAGCCCAGACACACAGUGCACGGCGUUUGUNACCCUCUCUCCACAGCCUCUUGGAUGAAGUUAGUCUUCCAUCUUGAGGAUACAGUUUCUCUUCAGUGACAGUGAGCAUUAUAUAUAUAUUUACUUUUUUUAUUUCUGAAAGAAAAAAAUAUAUAUAUAUAUAUAUAAAAUCAUUCAAACUGACCAAAUAAGUCUAUAGUGAAAAGUCUUAUUUCUAUCCCAGACUUCUCUCCUAAGAUCCUCAUACUAUCAACUUGAAUUUCCUUCUGGAAAUUUCUAUGCAUAACUAGCACAGUUUCCUUUCUUUUUUUCUUUUUUUUUAAACAAGAAUAAGCAUAGAGCAUGCUUUCUGUUCAACACCUUGUGCCAGUGUGUCUCAGAUAGUGUCUCAGGUAAAUACAGAUCAGAAUAUACAGCUCUACCAAGGUCUCUUGCACAGCUGAAUGAUAUUUCAUUGACUAAAUACUUGCAAUUUUAAAAUUACUUAUUAAAUAAGAGAUAUGACAGACCUUUUCUAAAAUAGAUACUGAUGCACCACCACCUAGUUUAAGAAAAUAAAAUGUUGCUAGUACUUGGGAACACACCACCCCAACUUGGCAUAAUUUGUUUAACCCACUUCCAGUGACAUUUAGGUUGCUUUGGUCACACUAUUAGAAACACUCCAGUUGAAUUUCCUCAUACUGUAUGCUUUUGCUUUCAUUAGCAAAACUGUCAGUAGUAAUUUUUUUAAUAUUUAUUUUUUAGUUAUAGGUGGACACAAUAUCUUUAUUUUAUUUUUAUGUGGGGCUGAGGAUUGAACCCGGUGCCUCAUGCAUGGUAGGCGAGCGCUCUACCUCUGAGCCACAACCCCAGCCCCUGUCAGUAGUAAAUUUUUAGGAGUGAAAUUUUGGGGCCAUAAACAAUAUGUUUUUUUAAGGUUUAAAAAUUUUUGUAUAGGUAAUAGACUACUCAAAAAUUUUUUUAAAAUUCAGAAAAAUAUAAGAAGUUCAUUCUCAGUCUCCCUUGGGCCUAGCUGUCAUCUCCUAUCCACAACCCCCAUCAACAUUUAAUGAUUUUGCAUUAUAAUAUGUCUCUCUUGAGUGUGUUUGUGUAAAUACAGGCAAGUGCAUCUCCCCUGUUGGUUUCAUAUAAGCAUUGAUCUAUAACUUGAUCUUAUACAACAAUAUAAUAGCAUUCUAUAACCCUGUAUUCUUUGAAUAAUGCUGCAAAGUGUAUUGUUAGAGUGCACGUGAUUUAGUUAACCAGCUCCUCUUGGAGAACACUUGGGUUGUUUCCAGAAUUCUGCUGUUAUGAACAAUAGUAUAGCCUGUUUAUGAGCAUUCGAAAUUUUAAUAUGUAAAUUUAUGUAAACGAGUGAUUUUCCUCCAGUGAGAUCACACCAUCUUAUGCUUUUACCAACAAUAUGUAAGAAUGGCUCUUCCCCAGCUCCACCCAGGCUAAUAUGAUAUAAUCAAAAUUGUUAUCUUUGGGGGGCUGGGGAUGUGGCUCAGGGGCAGAGCACUUGCCUAGCACCUGUGAGGCACUGAGUUCGAUCCUCAGCACCACACAAAAAUAAACAAAUAAACUAAGGCAUGCUGUCUAUCUACAACUAUAAAAAACAUUUUUUAAAAAUCUCAUCUUUGCCAUUCUAAAAUGGAAAAAAAAACAGUAUUUUGCUGUAUUGCAAAGAUUAAUCUGUUAGGAUAUUUAUUAUUACUAUUUACCAUAUUAAUGGAUCACAGGAGAGAAACCACAUAAUUAUCUCCAGAGAUUCUGAAAAGGCAUGUAUAAAACUCAGCAUCCAUUCAGAUUAACAAAACAAGCUGUCAGUAAAAUUAAAAUGAUUGAAUACCUCCUUACCAUGAUAAAAAAUACAUUUGAAGUCAAAAGCCAGCAGCUUAUUUAACGAUGAACCUAGAACUGUUCCCAUUGAAGUCAGGAGGGAGACAUAGUUGUCAGUGUCAUCAUUAUGAGGCAUUAUUCUGGAAUUCUAGCCAAUGCCAGUCAAGAGAAAGAAAUAGUGUACAUGCCAGGCGUGUGGUGCACACCUGUAAUCCCAGGGACUCAGGAGGCUGCACUGGGAUCCUCCUGUCUCAGUCUCCUGAGUCUCGGGAUACAGACGUGUGCCACCAUACCCAUGAUUGAUAGAACUCUUAAGCACGUACUGUUCAUGUACUCAGUACAACUUUAAGGCCAGCCUCAGCAACUUAACAAGUCCUAAGCAACUUAGUGAGACCCUAUCUCAAAAUAGCAAAAACUAAAAGAGCUGCAGAUAUAGCUGGUGGUAAAGCACCCCUGGGUUCAAUUCCAAGUACCAAAAACAAAGAAGAAAGAAAACCAAAUAUACAAAGAAGAAAGAGGUAGUUAGUUAAUCAUUAUUUGCAGAUGACUUGAUUGUAUACCUGGAAUAUUUACCUGAAAACCAAGGAAAUGCAUAGGCAGAGAAUUGAGAAAAGUCGGAAAUCGCAGUGAAAUGCGUAAGAAUCCAGAGCUUGCCUGUGGGCUGGGCUGUGGCUCAGUGGAGGAGCGCUCGCCUAGCACUGGGUUCCAUCCUCAGCACCACAUGAAAAAUAAAUAUAUAAACAAAUAAAAUGAUUUUUAAAAAGAGCUUAUCUGUAUGCAGGAAUAAGCAAUUGGGAAAUGCAGUGGAAGAAAUUACCCUAUUACAACAGCAGCUAAAAAGAUGAACUACCAGGCUGGGGUAUAGCUCAGUUGGUAGAGUGCUUGCCUUGCACACACAAGGCCCUGGGUUCAAUCCCCAGCACCACAGGAAAAAAAAAAAAAGAUAAACUACCUAGGCACAGUCCUAAUAGGAACUAUGUAGGAACAAUGUUAAGUAAAACGGUAAUCAAAGAUAUGAAGGAAGACUUGAUUAAAUGGGAGGAAGAAUCUGUUAUUAGACAGUAAAGGUUUUUGUGUUUUGGUUUUUUGUGGUCUGGGGAUCAACUGAGAACCUCACAUGUGCUAGGUAUAUAUUCUACCACUGAGCUACACCCCAGGCCAAGUAUUUUAAAGAUAGCAGCUGUCCCCAGAUUAAUCUUCACACUUAAUAUGGUCCCAAUAAAAAUAUCAACAGAAUUUAUUUUGGAAGUAGAAAACUUGAUUCUGAAUUUCAUAUGAAAAACAAAUACAUAAAAAUAGCUAGGAAAUUCAGAGAAAAAAGGACUGAUCCUACCAGAUUUUUUUUUUUAAGAAUUUAACCUUUAUUUUAUUUAUUUGUUUGUUUAUUUAUUUAUUUAUUUAAUAUUUAUUUUUUUAGUUUUUGGCAGACACAACAUCUUUGUUUGUAUGUGGUGCUGAGGAUCGAACCUGGGCUGCACGCAUGCCAGGCGAGCGCACUACCGCUUGAGCCACAUCCCCAGCCCCUACCAGAUUUUUUUACCUGCUGCCAAGGGUUGAACCCAGUGCCUCACCCGCAACAGGCAAGCGCUCUACAACCCCAGCCCCUACCAGAUUUUAAAACAGUGAUGUGAUGUACAUAGCUAGAAAGGUGCUUCCGGGGAUCAGACGGGAGCACCCAAAAGGUCGAAAACCAUAUGAAUGGUAUUUUUGUAUGUUGUAAACAUAAGGCUCCAAAUGAGUGGGGAAAUGGUGGUAGUGGGGCUGCCAGCUCUCCAUCCUGAAAACAAAACCAGAGCUGUUUGUCUGCCCCCUUCCCGACUCCCAGACCCCUACAGAUCCAAGGUUUAAAUGUAAAAUAAAUGAAAUCUGAUCACUAGAUAAAAGGAGGGAUAUUUCUAGAAUCUUCAAGCAGCAAAGCCUUUCCAAUCAAAGACACAAAACAUAAAGUCAUCAGGUAAAAAGCCCAGAAAUGUUAAUAGUAAGAAAAAAAUGGUGCGUAGUCAAAAGACCACCUGAGAAAAACACCACAGUGCCCAGCAGCCCGAGGCUAAUUUCUUUGAUACGUGAAGGGUUCUACAGAAAUCCCAAUGGAAAACCUUAGGAGAAAACUAAAGUAUGUGAGCUGUACAUUCAUAGAAAAGGAAAUACAGUGAAUUGCCAGGUGGUGGCACACCUGUAGCCUGUAAUCCCAGCAGCUCAGGAGGCUGAGGCAGGAGGAUCACAGGUUCAAAGCCAGCCUCAGCAACUUAGUGAGGCCUUAACCAACUCAGUGAGACCCUGUCUCAAAAUAAAAAGGGCCGGGAAUACGUCUCGGUGGUAAAGUGCCCCAGGUUCAGUCCCUGGUACCAAAAGAAAAAGGAAAAGAAGUACAAUGAAUUGUCAGUAAACAGAAAGGUACACGACCUCAUUUUGUAAAUUAAAUUGACGCUUUGACAGCAUACCUACAAAACAGCGGUGCAGUUAGCCUGUGCAUUACAGCUGAGUGUGAGAACAGUGCCUCCAGCCCAGACACACAGUGCACGGCGUUUGUGCAGAGGUCUUCAUGCAGCAUUGUUCACAGCAGCAAGAGGCUGGACGUGGUCUCAAGCACCAUCAUUUGCACACUGGUUAAGUCAGCCGUGGUGCAUCUCCACUAAAGAGUACUAAACAACCUUGUAAAGCACAGCGUGUCUGUGUGAGACCAUCUCUGAAACCUGUGCGCAGAGGGGAAGGCACUGUGGAUGGCAGGGGAGAGACAUAGUGUGUGUGUGUGUGUGUGUGUGUGUGUGUACACGCGCAGAGUAUUUUCUGGAAGGAUUACGACAGUCUGGUAGCUGGUAAUGCACUGCAUCUGGGGAAGGAAGGACACAUUUCAUUGUAUUCUCUGAGUGGUUGGAAUUUUUACUGGUGUGGUAUCUAACUUUUCAAAUAAAAAAAAAGCCAUUGGGCUGAGGUUGUAGCUCAAUAGUAGAGAGAGCUCUCCCUUGCACACGUGAGGCCCUGGGUUGGAUCCUCAGCACCACAGAAAAAUAAGUAAAUAAAGUAAAGGUAUUGUGUCCACCUCCAAUGAAAAAUAAAUAUGUUAAAAACAUCAAGGAGAAAAGCUCAUGAAAAUGGCACCUUGUUAUACAUUUUGUUUUUAGAGUAACAACAUUCAUUUAUUAGUGUUUACAUGUGAUUUGCAUUUACUUUUAUGUGAAAUACCUUUUCUGUCCUUAUCCAGUUUUCUUUUGGAUCAUUACUCUUCAUUAGCAAGUUAGAGCUUUUAACAUAAUAAGAAACCUUAACCCUUGACCAGCGUAACCCAACAGAGCCCUCAGGCUAGGAGGGCAGCAACGGCUCUCCACUGCCCCCUUGUGGCAGGAUGCAUUGCCCACUGGGCAAUGAACCUUCUGGAAGGGAAGAUCAGCCUCCCUCCUGCUCUUUACUGGUUCAUAUCCUUCAGUCUGAAUAAACCCCCAGAGCCUCCCACCCCACUUCUGGGGAUUGAACCCAGGGGCACUCUACCACUGAGCCACAUCCCCAGCACUGUUUAUUUUUUUAUUUUGAGACAAGGUCUCACUGAAUUGCUGAGGCUGGCCUCAAACUUGUGAUCUUCUGCCUCAGCCUCUUGAGUCACUAGAAUUAUAGUGUACAGCACCAUGCCCAGCAGAACUCAUUUCCUUUAAAUUCAUUCCUUUAAUUUCUUUAUGUAAUAGGUUCAGUGUUUUUCCUUCUUUUUUUUUCCCCUCAACCACUGAGCCACAUCCCUAGCCCUUUAUUAUUAUUAUUAUUAUUAUUAUUAUUAUUAUUAUUAUUAUUAUUAUUAUUUUCUUAUUUAGAGACAGGGUCUCACUGAGUUGCUCAGGGCCUCCCUAAGUUUCUGAGGCUGGCUUUGCACUUGUGAUCCUCCUGCCUCAGCCUCCUGAGACACUGGGAUUACAUGCAUGCACUACCGUGCCCUGCUUUUCCUCUUUAUCUUCUAUGAAAUCCUUUCUGAAACUCCGUGGCUCAUUCAUUCAAAACACAAGGACUUAUUAUCAACUAAAUUGAGAAUGUGAAGAAUUGCUGCCCCAAGUGUGCAGGAUGUGUGACCGUAACACAGAGUUGGAAUGUGCCGUAUGGAGGGACAUGCAGUGUGCCAUGGGGACACAGGAUAUUGCUGCCAGCUCCUCCUGGGAAAUCAAGGCAGGUGGCUUAUAGGACAGGAAACGCUAAUGUAGUAGCCACGUUUUCUCAGCGUCUCAUGCAGUAAUAUACUUUGCUUCCUUCUCAUAUGAAUUGAGCUGGGUCCUCCGUUUCCUUUCUCUCUUGAUGACCUCAGCCAGCUGCUCGUAUCUAAAUGCCAUAGAGCACUACACACACACCUCUAGCCCAGACCUUCUCACACCCCAGAUUCCUCCAUCCAGCUGUUCACGUGUCCCUUCGACUUGGAUUGGCCUCCCCGACAUGACAUGUUCAAAGCACAGAUCUUGAUUUUUGCUUUCUUAACCUCCUUCCCUCCAGCCUUUCCCAUCUUACUAAAUAUCAGGUGUUUCCCGUCUUAGUGAAUAUCAAUCCAGCUGUUCAAGCCAAAAACCCAAGGAUCACCUUUUCCUCUGUGCCCUUCACCUCCUUCAACCAAAUUAUCCUUUGACUUCUAUCCCAAGUCUCCUGCUCUUCUUCCUACCUCUAGUGUAGCAUUCUCUCACCUGGAUCACAUCUGGUCUCUCUGCGGUAUUCACUCAACACAUACCUACAGAGGUCCUUCUGCUAGAAUAGGAGCCAGAUGGUGACCAGCAGUCACCUAAGUAGAAGUAUGAGAUCUUGUGUCUCCUAGGGGUCACAGAGAGCUGGAGUUCAGAGGGCAGUGAGGAUCUGUGGAGGUAGGACUAGAUUUAGGGAGCGGGAUGGCCCCCAAAGAAAUGAUCCCUGAGCUGAGACCCUAAGGGUAACCCAGAAGAAGGUUCUAGGCAAAGGCUACGGUACAGUUGGCUUUCCGUAUCCACAGGUUCUGCACGCGUCUGUUCAACCAAGUGUGGAAUGAAAUGUUUUUAAAUCUGCUGAUUAUGUAAUUCGAGUCUGUCUCUGUACUAACCACAGCCAGACUUCCACUUCCUGCCGCCCUCCCUGCACCGGGCAGUGUAGCACCUGCUCCCACAGCGCUUACACUGUGUCAGCUGGGGUAGGUGACCUGGGAGGACACCCAGGGACUUGAGCAGCCUCAGAUCUCGGUUCUGCAGAGGUCCUGGGGCAGUGCCCCGUGGACACUGGAGGUGGCUGUCCUCAGCCGUCCUGUGGUAGGAGGAGACAGGGGGGAGGCCCGUGUGGACGAGGACAGAGGCCCUCUGAGGCCCCUAGGGCUGGCCUUGAGGUCAGUGCCCUUACCACAGGAGCCCUGGAGGGCCACUGCAGGUCUCGAGGGUCACUUUUUCUGUCCCACACUUUGGCCUGCUUUCCCAGCUUUUGUCUACCAGAUUUCCUGUCCCACUCUGAGAGGACCACUUGGGACCUUUGCCUCUGAUUCCCACCAACACCCCGGUCCUCGCUCUGAACUGAUACUCUUACAUCCCACGUCAGGAAACCACGGUCGUCAUGUAAGAGAGGCCGGUCUUAAUCCCCUGACCUCCCUCCCUCCUCCGAACCUCACUCUACCCCUAGGCACAAGGGAAGCGCCUUCCGCCUCCCCUUGAGUCCUGCGUGCCCUCCCUCUUGUCUGUUCUGGGGCUUCCUGCUUCUCCCCUCGUCAUCGGUGGUCCUUGCCAUCAGCCUGGAAACACGGCCGACCUGUGGACACCUUCCCUUGACCUGGGUCUCCCUCCAGGAACACCCUGGGUCUCCGCUCCUUCACAGCCAAGCCUCUCAGGACAGUCACCCAUGCUAAAAAGGCUGACCACCAGCCACAUGAGGUUAUUGAGCACUUAAAUGUGCCAGCUUGAUCAAGGGACUGAAUUAUUAUAUUUAAUUUUGAUUAAUAGCCUCGUGUGGCUACCAUAGUGGAUAGCCAAUUCCAAAGGAUUCAAAUUACAUAAUUAACAAACUCAGUCAUUCUCAUAUGUGUGCGUGCGCAUAAUACAUGUACAUAUAUGUAUAUAUACACGUGUGCAUGUAUGUAUGCAGGUGUCACACAUAUAAAACUGUGUCUAAGAGUUCGUAUUUUUAGAAGUAGUUGGACACAAUACCUUUAUUUUAUUAAUUUAUUUUUAUGUGGUGCUGAGGAUCGAACCCAGUGCCUCACACAUGCUAGGCAAGUGCUCUACCACCGAUCCACAGCCCCAGCCCGAGUUCAUAUUCUUUUCAAAGGCAGAACAGUCAUGAGAUCCUCCUGGACCCCUGGCAGUUCGUUCCCUACUCCCCAACCUCUCUUCAUGCCUCAGUCUCUCUCAUUCUGAACUUGGCCCGCCGGCCAGGAGGGACCAGCUGCUUAGGACAACCAAAGAAGAGUGGGACUCUCCGUGUGCUUGGACAUGGAGACCAGUUUCUUCUACAGCUGGAGCCGAUGCAUCCAGAACCGCAGCCUCUGUGCUGCCCAGUUCUGUUUCCAAGCGGUGGAUUCAGAUCUGGUUGAAAGCUGGGGUCUUGACACUUGUCUGCUGGGUUUCCCGGCUGCUCUGCUCUGUCAUGCCCUCCCUCUGGGAUUGCAGAAAUCCCCAGGAAGGGUGGGGGCCACUGCCUGCUGGGCUCGUGCCUCCUCUAUCAUCGGAGCCCAGGGCCCAGCCCAGGUCCACGUCCCUGCCCCACUGUUCAUCUUGGGCCCAGCAGAAAUCCACAGAUGACUCCCCAAGAAAGCUUGGCUCCCCAGCCUAAUGCUGUGCUUGUGGAUAUGCUCUCUCCAGGCUGACCCUUGUGAGGUGGUCAGGAACGGAGGGGACACUGGGAUUGGGUACUUUAAAAUCAGACAGUGUUAAGUAAGUGAUUCAAGUGGGGAGAGAGAUCUUGGCUUCUCAUUUCUGCUUAAGAAGAAAGUCUAAAUUCCGUGUUAGUAGUUCUUUAAACCCUCUUAUUACUCCCUAAUCUUCCUUUCUAGUAAAGGCAGGCUGGCUGGAGUCUUUGCAGAUAAUAGUACAGUAUCUAGUCGGAAUUAGUCUUAUGAUUUUAUCACAUUCGGCUUUAUAGCCACCUUCAAUUUAUGGCAAAUGGCACCGGUGUUCCCUUUGAGCACUGUGAAAUUUCCUUUUUAAGUGUGUCGAGCACAAUGGCACACGUAAUCCCAUCCACUCAGGAGGCUGAGGCGAAAGGAUCACAAGUUCAAAGCCAGCCUGGGCAGCUUAGCUGAAAGUAAAAAGUUGAAGAGUCUAGGAUAUAGCUCAGUGGUGGAGUGGCCCUGGGUUCGAUCCCCAGUACCACCAGCACCCCCCCCCAACAACAACAAAAAAAAAAGUAUGUGUAUUUUUUUUUAAUAUUUAUUUUUUAGGUGCAGAUCGACACAACACAAUGCCUUUAUUUUUUAAUGUGGUGCUGAGGCUCGAACCCAGGUCCCGCCCGUGCUAGGCGAGUGCUGUAUCGCUGAGCCACAGUCGCAGCCCCUAAAAGUUAACAUCUUUAUAUAUAUAUAAACAAUGUGUGUGCAUUUUUAAAGAAUCAGUGUAGAGAAAACACUCAUGGUCCUCCACGGGACAUCUGGAGCUAGCAAAAGUCAUGUUGCGAUUCAUGAAUGACCAAACUCCGGGAAAUGCUGCCUUAGUAACAUCUGUCAGAAUGGACGGGUCCGGAUGUCUGCUAGGCGGGCCACGCUGAAAGCCAGCCCAGCCCUUUCUGCAACAGCGUCCAAGUCUUGGUUUGUCUGUGUCCCGCUUCUCGCUUCUCGUCCCAAAGGUUCAUUUACCAAGCGAAAGUCGGGGGCCGCUGGUUUCCAGCCGUCUGCGCGCACAGCAAGAAGCAAGGCAAGCAGGAAGCAGCCGAUGCGGCCCUCCGCGUCCUGAUUGGGGAGAGCGAGAAGGCAGAGCGCAUGGGUUUCACAGAGGUAACCCCAGUGACAGGGGCCAGUCUCAGAAGAACUAUGCUCCUCCUCUCCAGGUCCCCAGAAGCGCAGCCAAAGACAGUUAAGACGUCUACUUUUGGUGCUAUCUUUUUGUUUUGGGGGUGGAGCUGGCUUGUCACUAGCUGUCAUGUGAAUUGUCCCUUGGCUAUGCUACUAGCCUCAAUAGAGCAUAUAACUGGGACACUAGAUGUGAAAGGGGAAAGAAAGGUGGUGCACGAGUCCAUUAGCACGUGACCCCCUGCCCACUGUGAAGCAUGGUGGACGCGGGCGUGGCUGCAUGACCCUCACAGCCCCCUGUCCCCACAGCUUCCUCUCACUGGCAGUACCUUCCACGACCAGAUAGCGAUGCUGAGCCACCGGUGCUUCAACACCCUCACAAACAGUUUCCAGCCCUCCCUGCUCGGCCGCAAAAUCCUAGCCGCCAUCAUUAUGAAGAAAGACCCUGAGGACAUGGGUGUCGUGGUCAGCUUGGGGACAGGUGAGAGAGGGUCUCCCCAGCCACCAGCCUCUCAGUGACUGGAAGCAGGUCUUCCUCACCCUCCCCUGAGUCCAUGUGAGCAAGUCCAAGCCCGGGGACCAGGCCGCGCGUCCCCUUGUCCUGACAUGGAUCUUAAAAAGCUCUGGAUUUUGGCCAGGUGCCAGGGUGCCUUUAAUGCCACCCACUCAGGAGGCUGCGGCAGGGUGAUGGAGAAUUCAGAGCCAGCUCAGCAACUGAGCAAGACCUAAGCAACAGCAAGACCCUGCCUCUCAAAAAAUACUGCCGAGGGCUGGGCAUGUGGCUCAGGGGCUAAGUGCCCACGGGUUCAAUCCCCAGUACACCCCCUCAAAAAAAAGCUUUGCAUUUUGGAACACUUCAGAUUUCCACAUUAGGGAUGCUCAACUAGCAGACUCCAUGCAAAUAUUCCAAAAUCUGAACAACUCCAGACUCUGAAACACUGUGGUCCUGAGCACUUGGGUAAAGGACACUCACCUGCGUGUCAUUUAGCUGCAGUCAGCUCAGGGUGGGGGUGGACUCCUUCUCCCUAGGUAAGAGGAUGACUGUCCAGGCUGUUCUCCGCGAGCCUGAAGACAGACUGCCCCACCCACUUCACCCUCCUUCUCCUUUGACUUUUCCCUUUUUCUCCCAAUCCUUCAGGGAAUCGCUGUGUCAAAGGAGACUCCCUCAGCCUCAAGGGAGAGACCGUCAACGACUGUCAUGCGGAGAUCAUCUCCCGAAGAGGCUUCAUCAGGUGAGCGAGCACCUGCCGGGGCUGCCCCCGCCCACCUGGGCACAGUGGCUCCGGCACAGGCCUUCCUGACACCCCGGCAGACGGCAGGUCCCUGAGCCAGCAGUGGUGGCCUUCGGGUUUAUCCUGUGAUCUGAGCCCUCGUAGAGCCAGUCCCCUCUGUGACCCUCUGCCUCCCACCCCCAGCCUGGUCCUAAGACCUUUUUUCUGCCAACUCUGCUGUCUUCUGUUUCUCAAAACAAAGUGACCCUGGGUCCUCGGGCCUUGGGGAUGAGGCGGCCUCCAUCUCCAUUUGAGGACCCAUCAGCACCUCGUGUCGCCGCGGCUUCUCCUCUGGUUCACCUUUUCUCUAAUUUGUGAAGGGAGCGGGGAAGAGGCAGCUGCCUCCCGAAGCCUUGAGCCAGUUCCUUCUGCCUGGAGUCCCUGCAGCCGCCACAGCAAGGGGCCUUUGGCGGAAAUGAAACGGACCGAAAGGCUCACUGUGCUUUAUGAAAUGCUGAGGUCUCUCUGGGAAGCUUCCCCACCUGAGAAGCUAGAAGAGCUGCACCAGGAAACUUGUCCCCACUUGGGGCUCAGAUAGGGGUCAGCUCCAAGCACCAUCUGCUCUCGCCAGAAUCCAGCCUGCCGUCCUAACUGCACGUCUUUUACAGGUUCCUUUACAGUGAGUUAAUGAAAUACAACCCCCAGACUGCGAAGGACAGUAUAUUUGAGCUUGCCAGGGGAGGAGAGAAGCUCCAGAUAAAAAAGACUGUUUCGUUCCACCUGUACAUCAGGUCUGUACCCUGCCGGGCUCCCAGGAUGGGCUUCCACCUGCUCUGCCGGCCCCUAAAUCUGACCCCACGCAACAGGCCACACGCUCCACUGAGGUACCAUGAGGUACAUUCCCCAGUGGAGGAUGACUGUCCUAGACACAGCUGCCCCCUCCAGCAUCCCCUGGUGGGCUCCAGGAAACAUCCCAGCUCCAGCCGCAGCAGACUAGGGACCCCGAGAAGUUGGAGUUCCCUCCUGCGCAGGUGAGUGACGGACACCCCUGUGUUGCAGCACUGCCCCGUGUGGAGACGGCGCCCUCUUCGACAAGUCCUGCAGUGACCGCGCCCUGGAAAGCACAGAUUCCCGCCACUACCCUGUCUUUGAGAAUCCCAAACAAGGCAAGCUGCGCACCAAGGUGGAGAAUGGUGAGUGCCACACAGGCUCUGCGAGACCCCCGUGUGCGCCACUCGUCACGGGGGAGGACUGUAGGGAGGGGAAGUUCCAUUCUGAAUCUGUUAGCUCAGGUGAUGAGAGCCUGGGGGGGAAGAAAGGACAGAGCGUGUCCUCCUGGGGUCUCCACGGCCGGCACAGGCAGAGUGCGGGGGGAGGGCGGCGGAAGUGAAAAGUCAGGCCCUCCGUCUGGUGGCCUCGGACCUGGCCUCCUGCCCCCUCGCGCCUUCCUGCCUGUCCCCCAGCAUCUCCUUCUCCUCCGGUCACCCCUGCUCCCUUCAUGCUUCAGCAGUCGUCUGCGUCACUGUCAAGCCCAAGUCAGGUCACGUCAGUUCCCUGCUGGCCACCCUGAAGUCUGGACAGCACCACGUGGCCCAGCAGUCCUCCUGGGCUAUCCCCAGGAGAAGUGAAAGCCCAGGUCCACACAGAGCUAGUUCGGGCGCCUUCACAGCAGCCGGGCAGGGGACACGGCCAGCGCCCUCCCCUCCAUGACAGAAAAGUAAAACCGCCACAUCCAUGCGAGGGACUGUCCUUGGCCAUGACAUGAAGUAAGCAUUGACCCAGCUACAGUGAGGUCACCCUGAAAACGUCAUGCUAAGCGCAAAAAGCCCCAAAAGAUCACGUGGUGUGACUCCAUUUCUAUGAAAUAUCCAGAAUAAAUGAGUUCUACAGACAGGAAGUGCCUGAGAGGCUGCCCGGAUGAGGGACGGAGGGAGGUGGGAGUGAGAGCCAGCCGAGGUCGGGUUGGGGUUGAUCGUGCCGAUGUAUAAUCCCAUGGUGCAUAACCUCAGAAACGCCAAAAACCACUGAACAGCUUGCUUUCAAUGGCGAGUUGUAGUAUACGACUUGUAUCUCAGUAAAGCUGGUAUUUUUUAAAAAAACGCAAGCACCAUGUAGGGUCUCCCACUGCCCUUGAUACGAAGGCAACCUGAGCCAGGCACAGUGGCCCAGGCCUGCAAUCCCAGCAGCUCCGGAGGCUGAGGCAGGAGGAUCACGAGUUCAAAGCCAGCCUUAGCGAGGCCCAGAGCAACUCAGCAAGACCCUGUCUGUACUGAAAGCCCACCUCCCGGCCUCAGCCUGCCCAGUCUUCUCUUUGGUGAUUCUCUGGUGCCCCCGAAACACCGAAACCCUCGCUGCCUCAGGCCGUGGCUUCUGCCGCUCGCUCCCUGUCUGAAUGGGUUAGGACUCUUCUCCCUCCAGCUGCUCCCUGCCUCCUCCACCCAGGAGCUCGCGGUGCCGUCCCCCCGGCUCUCCCACAGGCCUUCCCCACGCUGUCAGCAUCUGGAGUUCCCACCUGCUCACUGGUGCAUCUGCUUAGUGCUCUCCUUUCCCUUUCUGUCCCUCACCCCUGAACACCGCGGGACAGCACGGACCUCACUGAGGUCUGCUCCCCAGUGUUUCCCAGCUCCCAGCACAGUGACCGCCGUGUCCUCCAGGACUGUGAGCCACAUGGAGAAUGAAGGGCCGAGCUGCCGGUGGCCCGGCCUCAGGAGCUCAAGUCCCGCGCUAGGGGUGGUUUGGUGGCCUCUGUGGAUCUGACCCGAGUCUCUCACACAGGGGAAGGCACCAUCCCUGUGGAGUCCAGUGACAUUGUGCCUACGUGGGAUGGCAUCCGGCUUGGGGAGAGACUCCGCACCAUGUCCUGUAGUGACAAAAUCCUACGCUGGAACGUGCUGGGCCUGCAAGGGGCACUGCUGACCCACUUCCUACACCCUGUGUAUCUCAAAUCUGUCACACUGGGUAAGGGACCUGCCUUGGGAGUUGGAACCCACCUGUCCUUCUCCACCCCAGUCCCAGAAAACUUCAUGCUUCAGUCAACCCACUUUCCACAGUGAGCUCAGCCCCGUCGUCAGCAGGGGGUGCCGGCCUGCACAGGCCGGAGGGUGGCCAGGAGGCCGAGGAGGGGGGCCAGGCCAGUCUCCAAGACGGGUCGGAGAAACGCGGCAGAUGGCAGCAGCAGCAUCUGGUUUUCCUUGUUCUCCUCAGUCCUUGGCCUUACCCGAAACAUUCCGUUUUGUGCUUCAAUAUUUGAUGAUCCUGUGUGUCCUGUGCUGCCACAGUUAGAGGCCCUGCCUGUCAGGGGCUCUCUGUCCUGACAAUUCUGCCUUAUACCUUCCAGCCCCCGGGGGCCUCAGCUUCUCCAUAGCUUUGGUGAACACAGAUGUAUGGGUUUUUGUUUCUGUUUUUACUUUCUUUUUUAUACCCAGGGUACCUUUUCAGCCAAGGACAUCUGACCCGGGCUAUCUGCUGUCGUGUGACAAGAGACGGGAGUGCGUUUGAGGCUGGAUUACGAUACCCCUUUGUUGUCAACCACCCGAAGGUCUGUGCCCCUGUCCUGUUCCCCUUUUCAAGCAUUCCCAUCAGCAGAGCAGAAAUAUGGUCAAGGGAGCCAUGGUUGGUGUCCUCUGGAGGCCAAGGGCUUUCCUCCUCUAGCCUGACACGAUCUGAAUCGAGGUGGAGAGUACUUCUAGAGUGUGCUCCGGUGUAACCAAGCCAUGUUAAAUCAAGGGGGAGACGGUGGCCCACCUCCCUCUUCCCCAUGAUUCGGGAGUCCCUGCUCCCAGAACUUAGCCCUGAAUGGUGUCCACCUCUCUCUCUUCACUCCUGGGACUCCCAGGUGGGCCGAGUCAGUGUGUAUGACUCCAAGAGGCAAUCCGGGAAGACUAAGGAGACGAGCGUCAACUGGUGUUUGGCUGACGGCUUCGACCUGGAGAUCCUGGAUGGUACCAGGGGCACCGUGGACGGGUAAGGAAGGGGGAGGGUGCAGGGCAAGCAGGAUCCUCUCCAGAGCUAGGGCCACGUCCCACCACGGGUGUCCCCAGUGGCUCCCACUCCCCUGUCCCAGGUGAAUAACCAGUGCCUUUGUUUCCCCAGGCCACGAAAUGAAUUGUCGCGGGUAUCGAAAAAGAACAUUUUUCUUCUGUUUAAGAAGCUCUGCUCCUUCCGGUACCGCAGGGACUUACUGAAACUCUCCUACGGUGAGGCCAAGAAAGCCGCCCGCGACUAUGAGAUAAACAAGAACUACUUCAAAAAGAGCCUCAAGGACAUGGGUUACGGAAACUGGAUAAGCAAACCCCAGGAGGAGAAGAACUUCUAUCUCUGCCCCGUACCCAACGACUGAGGCUGGGGGUUGGCGGGGAGGGGGGGGGUCCUGGCAUUCCUCAUCACAUUGGCCUAGGGUGGGGGGGGGUUAACCCCCACCUUUUUUUUUUUAAUGGAACCAUAAUUAGAGAUACUGAGAACUUUGGGUUCCCUUUAUCCUGCUUUCUUUGGGGUUUCUAGGCAGAAUCUGGCCAGGCCCCUUCUCUUACUUCAAGUGAGAGGCAGAGACCUACAGGCAGAGAAAGGGGUUGACCUUUCCACCCAGAGCAUAAGCAGUCACCCAGCCCCUGUGGCCCAUCUCCUCCUGAGCUUUGUUUUCCCGUUUCCUUUUUGUGGGUGUGUUUCUACACUGACCUCUCGUGGACUUGAUCAGGUUCCAGUCAGUUCUCUGUGAACCGUGUCAGGGACCAAGGAUCUCGUUUAUGGAUCCCACAGGCCCCUCUAUUUCCCACCCCCGGCUUCUGAGAUUCUUACCUGUGAUCACUGAGUCUCUCCUCCCACCCUGGAGGGUAAAGAGGUGGACUUCAGGAAUUAGGUGAAAUAUUUACAAGGGUAGGAACUGAAGACUACGGCGGAUUAACUACCAGUGCCAAUGGAAGUGGGACUGGAAUCUGCGAACCCUGCUCAGCAGUGGGAACCUGCACUGUGUCCAGGAAAAAGCCGCUGCUGGCGAAGCGCAUCCCUUCCCGGGGCAGCAGGAAGUUGAGAACCAGCAGACGGGCUAGGAAGUUACCCACGCCGUAGGCGGUCCCCCCUGCAGAGUGACACAGACCACUACCAGGGGCACAGACAGACGUUCCUUGGGCUAUUGCCAAGCUCCCAUCUGCCCAUAAGCCCAUAGACCCCAGUAAACUAGUGUGAAAAACUUCAGGACAAUUCUUAGAGGGUAAAUCGUCUGCUCAGAUAGUUAGGACUUAGCAAGAAUAGGGCAGAAAUCAUGUUGGGACAAAUCGUUGUUCUGUGCAGUUCAAUAUUUCUCAGCACUGAUCCAAGGAAAGUUGACUAAACCCAGUAGAAUUAGGGCUCUUUUAAAGAAUGCCAGAGACGUUGGUUCUCAACCGCAGUCGCACAGAUUUAAAAUGCAGAUGGCCUUUUCCAUCCAUCCCAGGGCCUCAUCGUGUCAGAUGGCUCUGGGACUGGCAGAUGAUUUCCCACACUCCUGCCUCCCACCCGCAAACUGCUUCCCCACCUGGUCUGGCCCACCUCUUCAGUAGUGGAUAUGUCUGUGUUUGCACUUUGAUCUCUCUGGCUACUUUCUGUACCUGUGACCAAAAACUGAAUGAAAUAAUAAUGCAGGUUUUAAAAAAGACACUAAGGAUGUCUUUGUGGGACACUGAAGCAUCCCAAGGGAACUGGUGGGGAAAUGGGGCCUGUCUCUGGGGGAGAAGGGGCCGGGGCUUUGUGAGUAUUGCCAAGCUUGGGGUAUUAGCUGAAGGCAUGUGACUUCAGUGCUGACCUGCGGAGUGACAGUGCUCACUGUGUGGGGGCAGGGUGAUCUUGUGGCUCCGGGACAGGUCCUCCCGGCUGGAGGAUGACUACCUACCAGUUCCUCAGGAUGUCUGGCAGCUUUGGUCUGCCUUGGGCAUUAGAAUCUCUGGCAGAGAUCUGACUCAGCAGUCCCCCACCCCAUCACUGGGAGCACAGGGGCUCUCAAGAGAUCAGAGCCCCACUCGCCCCCAGGAUCUUAUCUAGCAAACUUGUCAUAUCCAGUUUCUGCUGUAAGAAGAAAGCGAGAAGCACCCCUGCCCUCCACACCCUGCUGGAAUUGAGCCGUGUCAGGCCCCGCCCCCCCCGUGUCCCAGGCCCCGCCCCUCAGAGUCACACAGGAGGGGUGGGGGGCAGAGCAUCCCCCCUGUGUUCACUUCUGUCCAAUCUUUGUUUUAACAAGCAAGACCCCUCCCUCCUUUCUUUAAUGGUUUUUUGUAGUUGAUUUGUCUGAACUGUGGCUGUUGUGCAUUAUCUUUGAAUAAUCACUUGUAAAAAUUGUUGAUGCUUGAAGCUAUUUCCUUUACUCAAGUUGAAAGGACUCUGUUGGCUUUGGGGUCUUGACAGUGACUCCAAGAGCAGAGUGGGGAAGAGCCCGGGCAUAGCCUUGGUGCCAGGGAGGCUGCAGUCCAGUUUCAUGAUUCUGCUUUUUGUGUCUACCUUCAAGUGACUCACAGUAUACAUUCCUCUGAAAUAAAAACAGUGAACAGUCUGAAUCCUUAGAGAGCUUCAUGUCUUGGU